CCUACGGGAGGCAGCAGUGAGGAAUAUUGCUCAAUGGGCGAGAGCCUGAACCAGCCACGUCGCGUGAAUGAUGACGGCCCUACGGGUUGUAAACUUCUUUUGUCAGGGAGCAAUUGGGUCCACGUGUGGGCUUAGCGAGAGUACCUGAAGAAAAAGAAUCGGCUAACUCCGUGCCAGCAGCCGCGGUAAUCCGGGGGAAGCGAGCGUUAUCCGGAUUUAUGGGGGUUAAGGGAUUCGUAGGCGGGAUAUCAAGUCAGCGGUAAAAAUUCGGGGCUAACUCCCGUCGUGCCGUUGAAACUGGUGAUCUUGAGUGGACGAGAGGAAUGCGGAAUGCGUGGUGUAGCGGUGAAAUGCAUAGAUAUCACGCAGAACACCGAUUGCGAAGGCAGCAUACCGGCGCCCAACUGACGCUGAAGCACGAAAGCGUGGGUAGCGAACAGGAUUAGAUACCCCAGUAGUC
RNAcentral lists this ribosomal RNA (460 nucleotides) under uncultured bacterium. Its description in RNAcentral is "partial 16S ribosomal RNA". It matches the Rfam family "Bacterial small subunit ribosomal RNA", at positions 338 to 795 of the family's 1533-position model. The record is from RNAcentral.